RNAcentral lists this unclassified non-coding RNA (756 nucleotides) under Hevea brasiliensis (rubber tree). Lineage: Eukaryota; Viridiplantae; Streptophyta; Magnoliopsida; Malpighiales; Euphorbiaceae. The record is from RNAcentral.
AACCUUCUCUCCAGAAACAGGAUCUGCAACAGGGUCCUCAACUGCAGCCUGCUUCAGAAACACAUUGCCCCUGGUAGCACGAAAAAGUAUCCUUUCAAAUGCCAUAGACUUUUCCCGAGGAACAAGACCAGAGAGAAAUCCCAAAUUAACCGGCUUUGACUGAUCCACAAACGAUUCUUGUUCCAACAACAACGGAACUUCUAUUGAAUCUCCACCAAUUCGCCGUGAUUCAAACUCCCUUUGCUGCUCUACGGCACUGCUCUGUGCUGCACUGAAAAACUCUCCAGCCUUCUGGAGAACAAGCUUAUACUCCACAAGUUCGUUGUAGGAACGCUGCAGCUUCUCACUAUUAGCAUUUAUCUCAACCAGUUCUGCCUCAAGCUCACCAAGUUUGAUCUCAAGGUCAUCUAUAUUGAUAUCAACUUGUGACACAGAGCUUUUGCUUGACAAUCCAGCCUUCAACAUCUGUUCCUUGAAAAAAUUCAAUUUGCGUGCCAUCUCUCCACAUCUUUUAAUCUGUGCAGCAUAAGUACGCUGGAAUGGGCUUUUAUCGGCAUUGAGAUCUUUGAACUGAAGAAGGCCGAGAUCACCGAGGUAGGAGAUGGUGCGAUGCGCAGACUCGAUUGGAAUGAUGAGCUGGACCAGCUGCAUCGGCUCGGAGCGGAAGAGAUCCAUGGAUGGACAGCAACCACCACGGGUAUCGCCCAUUGUUGCAAGAGCUGCCUCGGAUGCAAAUCUUCAGGGCCAAUCUGUGAA